AGCGCUCUCACUUUGAUCCCUUCCAUCUGUCACACACAGACACCCCUGCACACCUGCCCCACGGAGCCUGCAAAUUAAAAUCUCAGUGUUUUUUCCCCAAGGAGGCCGCGGUGGGGCAGAAAGAGUGGGAAAUAAUACAUAGCGUAGCCUUGAUUGAAUAUUCAUUGCAGAGAGCAGGAGGCAGAGAGUGCAGCGGUUGGGAACAGAGUCUUGCUUUGUACUGGGGAAAGGGGAGACGAGGUCGCCCCGUCCUUUAAGGAGGAGGAGGAGAUGGAGGAGGAGGAAGAGGAGGAGUUGGUGGUUGAGGGUGUUUAGGCCAGGGGGGUAGAAACACGAGGAGGAUGCUUGCGCAUGCAUGCGUGGUGAUGCUAUCCUGCCGUUUCAAAGCCAGAGGGGAUUUUUCCAGAGGGACAGCUGGUUUAAAUAAGGAAACGAUGAAGACCUCAGAAAGCACCAGUGGGGGAAAUAAAAAAAAAGAUCAUUUCAUCAACUCAAUUAGGCUCAUUAAUCAAAGCAGGCCAUUUGCCUCUUCCCAGGGCAGCUGGUGAAGGUUAAGAGAGCGGCUGGAUCUCUGGAAGGAGGGAAGAGUUUGGGGAAAGAAACCAGGGAGGGGGGUAGUAGGCUUUGCCAGGAACUUAACCCAAGGACAGCCCCAUCGUUCGUCAUUUACAGUGACCUGAUGGAGAUGGAUGAUACGGCUUAGCAACCACACUGUGGGAGCUGCCUCCUGAAGCACAGGAGCCAACACCUCAUACGAUGCGAGUACAAGUUGGUUGGCUCUGUUCCACAGGCACAUAACUGGGAAACCAAUCUAUAUUGCUGAACAGCCCAAAUCCUCCUCUUAAAAAAA
Molecule: non-coding RNA, 850 nt
Organism: Podarcis lilfordi (Lilford's wall lizard)
Lineage: Eukaryota; Metazoa; Chordata; Lepidosauria; Squamata; Lacertidae
Source: the annotation of a GenBank genome assembly